GUGUCAGCCGCCGCGGUAAAACGUAGGAGACAAGCGUUAUCCGAAUUUACUGGGCGUAAAGCGCAUGCAGGUGGUUCGGUAAGUGGCGUGUGAAAUCUCCUGGCUCAACUGGGAGGGGACGCGCCAAACUGUCGGACUAGAGGGCGGUAGAGGGAGGUGGAAUUCCCGGUGUAGUGGUGAAAUGCGUAGAUAUCGGGAGGAACACCUGUGGCGAAAGCGGCCUCCUGGACCGUACCUGACGCUCAGAUGCGAAAGCUAGGGGAGCGAACGGGAUUAGAUACCCCCGUAGUCC
This 292-nucleotide ribosomal RNA is filed under the name uncultured bacterium. Its description in RNAcentral is "partial 16S ribosomal RNA". It matches the Rfam family "Bacterial small subunit ribosomal RNA", at positions 505 to 796 of the family's 1533-position model. The record is from RNAcentral.